CGGGAGGGUGAGUAUGUCUGGGAAACUGCCUGAGUGGAGGGGAUAACUACUGGAAACGGUAGCUAAUACCGCAUAACGUCGCAAGACCAAAGAGGGGGACCUUCGGGCCUCUUGCCAUCGGAUGUGCCCAGAUGGGAUUAGCUAGUAGGUGGGGUAACGGCUCACCUAGGCGACGAUCCCUAGCUGGUCUGAGAGGAUGACCAGCCACACUGGAACUGAGACACGGUCCAG
This 231-nucleotide ribosomal RNA is filed under the name uncultured bacterium. Its description in RNAcentral is "partial 16S ribosomal RNA". It matches the Rfam family "Bacterial small subunit ribosomal RNA", at positions 99 to 334 of the family's 1533-position model. The record is from RNAcentral.